RNAcentral lists this ribosomal RNA (341 nucleotides) under Bacillus subtilis. Its description in RNAcentral is "bacterial SSU rRNA". It matches the Rfam family "Bacterial small subunit ribosomal RNA", at positions 1195 to 1533 of the family's 1533-position model. Lineage: Bacteria; Bacillati; Bacillota; Bacilli; Caryophanales; Bacillaceae. The record is from RNAcentral.
AAAUUCUAACAGAACUGGGCCAAACCGUGCUCCUUGGACAGAACAAGGGCAGCGUUACCGCGAGGUUAAGCCAAUCCCACAAAUCUGUUCCUCAGUUCGGAUCGCAGUCUGCAACUCGACUGCGUGAAGCUGGAAUCGCUAGUAAUCGCGGAUCAGCAUGCCGCGGUGAAUACGUUCCCGGGCCUUGUACACACCGCCCGUCACACCACGAGAGUUUGUAACACCCGAAGUCGGUGAGGUAACCUUUAUGGAGCCAGCCGCCGAAGGUGGGACAGAUGAUUGGGGUGAAGUCGUAACAAGGUAGCCGUAUCGGAAGGUGCGGUUGAUUUCACCUCUACGUU